GAUGAACGCUGGCGGUAUGCUUAACACAUGCCAGUCGAACGGGGUUCAUAGUCACCUAGUGGCGGACGGGUGAGUAACGCGUGAGAAUCUGGCCUCAGGUCCGGGACAACCACGGGAAACGGUGGCUAAUACCGGAUGUGCCAUAUUGGUGAAAGAUUAAUUGCCUGAGGAUGAGCUCGCGUCUGAUUAGCUAGUUGGUGGGGUAAAGGCUUACCAAGGCGACGAUCAGUAACUGGUCUGAGAGGAUGACCAGUCACACUGGGACUGAGACACGGCCCAGACUCCUACGGGAGGCAGCAGUGGGGAAUUUUCCGCAAUGGGCGAAAGCCUGACGGAGCAAUACCGCGUGAGGGAGGAAGGCUCUUGGGUUGUAAACCUCUUUUCUCAGGGAAGAAGAAUGACGGUACCUGAGGAAUCAGCAUCGGCUAACUCCGUG
Molecule: ribosomal RNA, 436 nt
Filed under: uncultured bacterium
Lineage: Bacteria
Description: partial 16S ribosomal RNA
Rfam family: Bacterial small subunit ribosomal RNA
Source: RNAcentral